Molecule: unclassified non-coding RNA, 392 nt
Filed under: soil metagenome
Description: partial contains 5.8S ribosomal RNA, internal transcribed spacer 2, and large subunit ribosomal RNA
Rfam family: 5.8S ribosomal RNA (bases 1-122)
Source: RNAcentral
GAUGAAGAACGUAGCGAAAUGCGAUACUUGGUGUGAAUUGCAGAAUCCCGUGAACCAUCGAGUCUUUGAACGCAAGUUGCGCCCGAAGCCACUAGGCCGAGGGCACGCCUGCCUGGGCGUCACACGCCGUUGCCCCCCCAUCUACUCCUUCGGGAUUGCGGGGGGGCGGAUGAUGGCCUCCCGUGCGCCUAGCCGCGCGGUUGGCAUAAAUGCCAAGUCCUCGGCGACGCACGCCACGACAAUCGGUGGUUGCGAAACCUCGGUUGCCCGUCGUGUGCGGUCGUCGCGCAUCGAGGGCUCGAAAAAAUUGCCGGGCUCCGGCUCGGCUUUCAACGCGACCCCAGGUCAGGCGGGGUUACCCGCUGAAUUUAAGCAUAUCAAUAAGCGGAGGA